This 305-nucleotide ribosomal RNA is filed under the name uncultured bacterium. Its description in RNAcentral is "bacterial SSU rRNA". It matches the Rfam family "Bacterial small subunit ribosomal RNA", at positions 337 to 640 of the family's 1533-position model. The record is from RNAcentral.
ACCUACGGGAGGCAGCAGUGAGGAAUAUUGGUCAAUGGGCGGGAGCCUGAACCAGCCAAGUCGCGUGAGGGAUGACGGCCCUAUGGGUUGUAAACCUCUUUUGCCGGGGAGCAAAGUGCCGCACGUGUGCGGUUUGGAGAGUACCCGAAGAAAAAGCAUCGGCUAACUCCGUGCCAGCAGCCGCGGUAAUACGGAGGAUGCGAGCGUUAUCCGGAUUUAUUGGGUUUAAAGGGUGCGCAGGCGGAGGUGCAAGUCAGCGGUCAAAUUGCGGGGCUCAACCCCGUACUGCCGUUGAAACUGCAUCC